UACGUAGGGGGCAAGCGUUGUCCGGAAUCAUUGGGCGUAAAGGGCUCGUAGGCGGUCUGUCGCGUCAGGAGUGAAAACUCGGGGCUUAACCCCGAGCCUGCUUCUGAUACGGGCAGACUAGAGGUAUGCAGGGGAGAACGGAAUUCCUGGUGUAGCGGUGAAAUGCGCAGAUAUCAGGAGGAACACCGGUGGCGAAGGCGGUUCUCUGGGCAUUACCUGACGCUGAGGAGCGAAAGUGUGGGGAGCGAACAGG
RNAcentral lists this ribosomal RNA (253 nucleotides) under uncultured bacterium. RNAcentral's name for it is "partial 16S ribosomal RNA". It matches the Rfam family "Bacterial small subunit ribosomal RNA", at positions 524 to 776 of the family's 1533-position model. The record is from RNAcentral.